UUUCCGUAGGUGAACCUGCGGAAGGAUCAUUAUUGGAUUUUGAAACUUCAGACUGCUGCUGGCACUCCUCGGAGUACAUGUGCACGCUUGUUGUCCAUUAUUUCUCCCACUGUGCACACACUGUAGCCUUUUCAGCAGUCCUAUGUUGUUUUUCACAAUAUCUGAAUGUAAUAGAAUGUUUUUAACUCUUGGGAAAUACAAUACAACUUUCAGCAACGGAUCUCUUGGCUCUG
This 233-nucleotide unclassified non-coding RNA is filed under the name plant metagenome. Its description in RNAcentral is "partial contains small subunit ribosomal RNA, internal transcribed spacer 1, and 5.8S ribosomal RNA". The record is from RNAcentral.